RNAcentral lists this ribosomal RNA (497 nucleotides) under uncultured bacterium. RNAcentral's name for it is "partial 16S ribosomal RNA". It matches the Rfam family "Bacterial small subunit ribosomal RNA", at positions 28 to 507 of the family's 1533-position model. The record is from RNAcentral.
GAUGAACGCUGGCGGCGUGCCUAAUACAUGCAAGUCGAGCGAACAGACGAGGAGCUUGCUCCUCUGACGUUAGCGGCGGACGGGUGAGUAACACGUGGAUAACCUACCUAUAAGACUGGGAUAACUUCGGGAAACCGGAGCUAAUACCGGAUAAUAUAUUGAACCGCAUGGUUCAAUAGUGAAAGACGGUUUUGCUGUCACUUAUAGAUGGAUCCGCGCCGCAUUAGCUAGUUGGUAAGGUAACGGCUUACCAAGGCAACGAUGCGUAGCCGACCUGAGAGGGUGAUAGGCCACACUGGAACUGAGACACGGUCCAGACUCCUACGGUAGGCAGCAGUAGGGAAUCUUCCGCAAUGGGAGAAAGCCUGACGGAGCAACGCCGCGUGAGUGAUGAAGGUCUUCGGAUCGUAAAACUCUGUUAUUAGGGAAGAACAAAUGUGUAAGUAACUAUGCACGUCUUGACGGUACCUAAUCAGAAAGCCACGGCUAACUACGUG